AUAAAAGCAGGCUAAAAUCUUUCUCCUCAAUUGAAUGCUGGAAGAGUUGAAAGUGUAAACAAUAUAAUUUGCUCUUUAUAUUCCACAGUUUGAGAUAUGACGCGUAAGAUGUUCGGCUGUGUUUUGGCUCUGAUACUAGUAGCAGCAGCUGCAGCUUCAGUUACAACACAUGUUGAAGAAUCCUCCAUUUUGAAUCAGAAUUUCAGAAAUGUCAUCACCUACCCUUCUCCUUUUCGCAGCUUGAACCGUCAACAGCGUGCCGUGAAGCCUGAGCCCAAGGAAAAGCGCAAGCGCCCAAUAGUUUCAGGGUAUCCAAUUUUUUAUGGAAAUAAGGUCUUCCAAAAACCUGUUAGGAACUAGAAUGAAUUUGAAUGAAGUGUUGCCUUUAAUAUUCUUUGAAGGCAACAAUCAUAAAUAGAUCAUGAUUAAAACAUUUUUGUUGUAAUUUUUUCAUUUAAUUUAAUAAAUUAUUCGGAUUAAAAUCAA
Long non-coding RNA from Eurytemora carolleeae, 486 nucleotides. RefSeq lists it as uncharacterized. The transcript is spliced from 2 exons. The record is from RefSeq and is a predicted model, not a curated record. NCBI's taxonomy places the organism in Eukaryota, Metazoa, Arthropoda, Copepoda, Calanoida, Temoridae.